This 497-nucleotide ribosomal RNA is filed under the name uncultured Neisseria sp. Its description in RNAcentral is "partial 16S ribosomal RNA". The record is from RNAcentral. Lineage: Bacteria; Pseudomonadati; Pseudomonadota; Betaproteobacteria; Neisseriales; Neisseriaceae.
CACGUAGUUAGCCGGUGCUUAUUCUUCAGGUACCGUCAUCAACUGUCGGUAUUAGCGACAGCCUUUUCUUCCCUGACAAAAGUCCUUUACAACCCGAAGGCCUUCUUCAGACACGCGGCAUGGCUGGAUCAGGCUUGCGCCCAUUGUCCAAAAUUCCCCACUGCUGCCUCCCGUAGGAGUCUGGGCCGUGUCUCAGUCCCAGUGUGGCGGAUCAUCCUCUCAGACCCGCUACUGAUCGUCGCCUUGGUAGGCCUUUACCCCACCAACUAGCUAAUCAGAUAUCGGCCGCUCGAAUAACGCAAGGCCCGAAGGUCCCCUGCUUUCCUCCUCAGAGAAUAUGCGGUAUUAGCUAAUCUUUCGAUUAGUUAUCCCCCAUUACUCGGUACGUUCCGAUAUGUUACUCACCCGUUCGCCACUCGCCACCCAAGAAGCAAGCUUCUCUGUGCUGCCGUCCGACUUGCAUGUGUAAAGCAUGCCGCCAGCGUUCAAUCUGAGCC